GCUAUUCUAGACAGUCUUGUGGAAACAUUAGCAGGUUCGCCACCUGUAGGUGUUAAUGAACUUGGGUGUUCAUUCGCUGUACUCCAUCCCCCUCAUGGUUGCCUUAUUUGACUUAUAUUGCUGAGGUACCCCCGAAGCAUGUGUUGUCGCCCCGAUGAAAUAUUCUUAGACUAGGUCCCUUAUGUUAGUUGUUUUAGGGACAUUAAAGUGAGAAUAACGGGAAUGGGUAAUUGGGUUAUUGUUGGUUGGUGAAAAUUAAAUAUGAUAUUUAUUGUGGGUUGAAAACCCUAUAUGCUCACCAGGCUCCCAAGCCUGACCCACUCAGUUUUAAAUUGUAUUACAGGUAGUGGCGGAAGGGCAUGAGAUGGAUGAACCAUCAAGUUGUUUUGUUUACAAGUCUGCAUAUGUUUAUAUUUGUUAUAUGACUUGUAAUGUAUUCGUUUAUGCUUAUUGGUCUGUAUCGGAACAUGACACCCCGAGUUUUGAUUAUAAUGAAAAUACAUUUCUUUUAUGAAAUGCUUCGGUAAACAAUGUUUUAUCAUGUUUUGUUUUUGGGAACAAAUUCCGCAACUCUUUCAAAUCAAAAGGAUUUACUCUGAAAAUAUUUAAAAGCAUAAAUGAAAAUCGGUCUUUUCUGGCCGAGAUUUUGGGGAUGUCACAGUUGGUAUCAGAGCAUUAGUUUAAGCGAACUAGGAAUUUGUAGGAUUUCUAGACUUAAACUUAGAAUGCUAAGUGAAGUUUUGAGAUGUGUGUCUGUUGUGAUUUAGACACGAGCACUAGUUUAUUUUAGGAAAGUUGCCUAAAAUGCUUUAUGUGCUAAAUGUUAUAUGUUGCCAUAUAUGAUAUUAUUUGUUCGGAUCUAUGGUCUGUUGCCGACCGGAUCUAGAAACCUUAUGUGUGUAGGAUUCUAAGCGUACGUCUACGAUAUUAGAACUAGCAUGUAAACGUUUCGGAGUGAUAAGGAUGAUUUGAAUAUCUAUCAUGAUUGAGGAUCUAAUUUCACCUUAUUCGGUGUAGAUCAAAAUGGUGAGAACAAGAAGUGGAGUUGGAAAUGCUGACGAAAACAGGAAUCAACCACCAGUGAUUGAGCCAAUACCUGUCGUAGCAGCAGCACCUGAGCCAAUAACCAUGGCUGGUGUGCAAUUGAUGAUUCAGACGAUGUUGGAUCGUCAGAUGGAUGAAACUAGACGGUUGCUUCAACAAAAUCGUGAAGAACUGUCGAUUCGUGUGGAAGAGCCUGAACUGAAUGAAGGGCACUCGGAAGGUGGAAACUUCAGUGGGUCUGUUGGUCCAGCCAACCCACCGAUAGUUAGGCAAGAUAACCAUGAUGGAAGGAAUGAUGGAAUGGGAUGCAAGUACAAGGACUUUUUGACUUGUAAACCAUCGACCUUCAAUGGAAAGGAGGAUCCGAUUGGGGUUAUGGAUUGGAUCUCCGAAAUGGAGUUAGCCUUUAUGACAUGUGGCUGUAGAGGCAAGUUGCAGACUAUCUAUGCCGUGCGACAAUUCCGAGGUGGAGCCGUUCGUUGGUGGAACACUCUAGGGAAGACCUUAAGCCCUAAUGAGCCACUGCAAUUGUCAUGGGCAGAGUUCUUGGUGCAGUUCAAGCGCAAGUUCUGCUCGGCUCAAAAUCUGUUGGAGUUGGAGAACAAGUUUUUGACAUUGACGAAGGGUAGCAUGUCAGUGGAUGAGUACACCAAUAACUUCACCGAUAAGAUGGAGUUUGCCUUGCGUAUCGUUCCAGACGAGCUGACAAAGGUGGAUCGGUAUGCGAAGGGACUUCCAUGGGAGUACGAGGUGCCGGUACGUCAGGCACUUACUCUAGAGGCAGCUAUCUGGGCUGCCAAGUCUGUGGAGAACAUGAUCAAGGGGAGAACCACCGUCAAGGUUGAGGUUGGUGAGAAAAGGAAGUUUGAAGGAACAUCUGGUUCCAGUAAGAAGAGCAAAUUUUCGAAAUCUGAUUCGAAAAAGUUUGGAGGAAAAGGAGGCGAAGCAAAGUGGUGUGAUAAGUGUAAGAAAAAGCACUUUGGGAAAUGUAGCGAGGAUGUGACCUGCUACAAGUGUGGAAAGGUUGGACAUUUUGCCAAUGAAUGUCCGAACAACAAAAGGAUGUGUUUUGGGUGUAAUGAAGAGGGGCAUAUUUUGAAAGACUGUCCGAAGAAGAAGGAGGCAGCUAGGCCCAACAUUCCACCAAAGCCGAAGGCGAGAGCCUUCCAGAUGACACUUGAGGCUGCGAAAGAUGAAGCUGAUGUCGCUUCAGGUACCUUUCUCGUAAACGAAUUACCUGCUCAUAUAUUGUUUGAUUCUGGAGCCAACUACUCCUUUAUUUCGCAUGAGUUUGGUAGAAAGCUAGCUUUGCCUGUUGAUAGACUAGAUAAUGCUUUAUUAGUCGAAGUAGCUAGUGGCAAGUUUGUACCUGUUAGCCAUCGUAUGAAAAACGUCUUGAUCGACCUUAAUGGGAAUAAGUUUCUCGAGGAAUUAUUGCCUAUCGAACUAAAUGGUUUCGACAUCGUCUUGGGAAUGGAUUGGCUUAGCGCCAAUGAUGCCGAAAUUUUGUGCAAGAAGAAGAUAGUUAAAGUAAACCCGCCUGGGAAAGAUUCGUUUAUGGUGUAUGGGGACAAACGCAGAGUGAAUUCUGGAAUCAUUUCUCUAAUGAAAGCCAGAAAGUGUUUGACCAAGGGAUGUACAUCAUAUUUAGCAUUCGUGAUUGAUGCUAAGAAAGAAAAGAAGGUGAUGCAGAGCAUUCCAGUGGUGUGUGAUUAUCCGGAAGUAUUUCCCGAGGAUCUUCCUGGAUUACCACCUGAUAGACAAGUGGAGUUCAGAAUAGACUUGUUACCAGGAACCACGCCAAUAGCAAAAGCACCUUAUCGAUUAGCACCGACGGAGAUGAAGGAGCUGAUGAUGCAACUUCAGGAGUUAUUGGACAAAGGUUUCAUUAGACCUAGUUCAUCGCCCUGGGGAGCUCCGGUGUUAUUUGUAAAGAAGAAAGAUGGAAGUAUGAGAAUGUGCAUCGAUUACAGAGAGCUGAACAAGGCAACAAUAAAGAAUAGAUAUCCGUUGCCGAGGAUUGAUGACCUGUUUGAUCAAUUGCAAGGUUCGAGCUAUUUCUCGAAGAUCGAUCUUAGGUCAGGAUAUCAUCAGCUGAAAGUAAGAGAGCAAGAUAUCGAGAAGACUGCAUUCAGAACUAGAUAUGGACACUACGAGUUCUUGGUUAUGUCGUUUGGACUAACCAAUGCUCCAGCAGCGUUCAUGGAUUUGAUGAAUAGGGUUUGUAAUCCUUUCCUUGAUAAAUCCGUGAUAGUGUUCAUAGACGACAUUCUGAUCUACUCGAAAAGCCAGGAGGAGCAUGGCAGACACUUGCGAGAAGUGUUAGAAGUUUUGAAGAAGGAGAAGCUUUAUGCGAAGUUCUCCAAAUGUGAUUUUUGGAUUCGUGAGGUCCAAUUCUUGGGUCACGUGGUCAACCAAGAAGGGAUAAUGGUUGAUCCAGCGAAGAUCGAAGCUGUGACGAAGUGGGAACAACCGAAAAGUCCCACGGAGAUUCGAAGCUUUUUAGGAUUAGCCGGAUAUUACCGAAGGUUUAUCCAAGGCUUUUCUUCGAUUGCUACUCCAUUAACAGCUUUGACCCACAAAGGAGCUACUUAUGCUUGGAGUGAGAAGCAUAAAGAAGCAUUCGAGAAGUUAAAGAAGAAGCUAUGCGAGGCACCGAUACUUUCUCUACCCGAUGGAGUUGAAGACUUCGCUGUUUAUAGCGAUGCGUCUGGUGUUGGAUUGGGUUGUGUUUUGACCCAAAGAGAAAAGGUGAUAGCAUAUGCGUCUCGACAGCUGAAAGAGCAUGAAAAGAAUUACCCGACUCAUGAUUUGGAGUUGGCAGCGGUAGUUUUCGCUCUGAAAAUAUGGAGGCAUUACCUCUAUGGCACGAAGUGCAAACUUUUCACUGAUCAUAAGAGUCUCCAAUACCUCUUUAAUCAGAAAGAAUUGAAUAUGAGGCAACGACGCUGGCUAGAAUUACUUAAAGACUACGACUGCGAGAUACUUUACCACCCCGGUAAAGCUAAUGUUGUUGCUGAUGCUCUCAGUCGGAAAGUCAAUCUUGAAAGGAAGAGGCCAAGAGCGUUGAGAAUUGAAGUUGUCUCGACUAUUGUGGAAAGUAUAAAGAAAGCUCAAGAGGAAGCUUCUGAGAAAAAUGACCGAAAGGAGGAACGUUUGGGUAAAACGUUGGUGUUUGGUACUAACGGUCAUGGACUGAAGGUAUUCCAAGAUCGUAUUUGGGUACCUAAGUCAGGAGGAAUUAGGGAUCUUCUGAUGGAAGAAGCUCACAAAACCAUGUACUCAAUUCAUCCGGGUAGCACUAAAAUGUAUAGGGACCUGAAACCCUACUACUGGUGGCCGACGAUGAAGCUUGAUGUUGCAAAGUAUGUGGCCGAGUGUGUGACUUGUGCGAGAGUCAAGACACAACAUCAGAAACCUUACGGGAGUUUAGAACCAUUGCCUGUGCCUAUGGGUAAGUGGGAAGACAUUGCUAUGGAUUUUGUCACUAAACUGCCCAGAACAAAGAAUGGUCACGACAUGAUUUGGGUGGUCGUUGAUCGAUUCACUAAGAGUGCGCAUUUCAUAGCGGCCAGGGAGAAAUGGUCUAUGGAAAAGCUUGCGAAUUCUUACGUGAAGGAAAUUGUGAGGCUUCACGGUGUUCCGUUAACGAUUGUAUCGGAUCGUGAUAGCCGUUUCACCUCAAGGUUUUGGAAAAGUCUACAAGAGGAAAUGGGUACCAAGUUAUGUUUAAGCACAGCUUACCAUCCGCAGACUGAUGGUCAGAGUGAAAGAACAAUACAAACACUUGAAGAUAUGCUGAGAGCAUGUACCUUGGAAUUCCUAGGUAAUUGGGAUGAACAUUUACCGUUGGUAGAAUUUUCCUAUAAUAAUAGUUUUCACUCGAGCAUUAAGAUGGCACCUUAUCAAGCUUUGUAUGGACAGAAGUGUCGUACGCCGUCUUGUUGGCUUGAGGCUGGGGAAAAGCAGUUUAUGGGACCGGAGAUGGUUCAUCAAACUGCUGAAAAGUUGAAAAUAAUUAGGGAAAGAAUGUUAGCAGCUCAAGAUCGUCAAAAGAGCUAUGCUGACAAGAAGCGAAGACCGAUGACUUUUGAGGUUGGAGAUUCGGUUUUGCUUAAAGUCUCGCCGUGGAAGGGACUUAUAAGAUUUGGUAAAAGGGGAAAGUUGAGUCCAAGGUUUAUUGGACCGUUUAAAGUCCUUCAGAGGAUUGGGAAUCAAGCUUACAAGCUCGAAUUACCCGAAGAACUGAAUGGAAUUCACAACACCUUUCAUGUGUGUUAUUUGAGGAAGUUCACGGGAGAAGUUCCCGAUAUAAUUCCAAUUUCUGAAUUGAGAAUUGAUGAGAACAAAAGGUUGAUUGAAGAACCAGAGGCAAUUGUUGACCGAAAGACUAAGAAGUUGCGACGCAAAAUGGUUGGGUUAGUGCUUGUCCGAUGGAAACACACGAAUGGGCCGAAUCUCACCUGGGAGACGGAGAGUGACAUGUUGAGUCGCUAUCCGCAUUUGUUUGUUGAUGUGUGAUUCCGGGGACGGAAUCAUUCUAAGGUGGAGAGAAUUGUAACGCCUGUGUUUCCGGGCUUGCCAUUUUUAGCAAUGUAAUAGUCUAGGUUAACCUUUGUAACCCGUUUUGAAAUAAUAAGAUUGUAUUAUUUGAGUAUUAUGUGUUUUGUGCUUAAUUGCUUAAUUAUGUGGUUUGAUUAAUUAAGAAUAAAAAUAAGCGUCAAAAUUUAAGUGUAAAAUAAACUUAAUAUCUUUGGUUAAUGUUGUAGUAGUUGAAACGAGGUUUCCGAAUAUAUAUAGAACGCCCAAAUCUGACUUCGUAUGAGGAAGUUAUGAUUUAUCGAAGUUCCGGCUUAGCGAUAUACAGCCUGUUUUACUCGAUUUGAGAUCGAGCGGUUGUUAGCCGAAGCAAUCUAAAUGAGAAUCGAAGAUCUCAUUGUUGGUAUUGAAACGAUAAAAAGUUAGGCGAGAACGGACGUCAAACGAAGAAGUUAUGAAUUUAUAACGAAAGUUUCUGUCCCGGCCUAUUAAAAAUAAUUAAUAAAAAUAAAGUCAAAAUUAGCCGACGGAGUCUAAACGAAAGUCGUAGAGCGUGGUCUCACCUUCGCGUGGAUAUAAAGAACGUCGAAAACGGAGUUCGUAUGAAGAAGUUAUGAAUUUCCGAAGUUUAUUAAUCAUUUUGUAUUUAUUUUUAAUUCAAAAUUCGGAAGCAUUAUCCGAAGGAGUCACCGAUCUGAUCCGAGGUACGCCCCGCGUACUCGAGUACGCCCCGCGUACUCCGAGGGAUGUCGACACUCGCACUCGAGCACUUCGGAUACGUAAGCAAUGACGUUUUGGGCAGUACGCCCCGCGUAACGCAGUACGCCCCGCGUACUCCGAGGCUCCAGCCUCCUAUAAAUAGGAUGCGAGGGUUCCGGGUAUUUUUGCCAAUUCCCUCUCGUUUUCGUGUCGAAGCUCUGUGCAAAAACCCCCGAAGCUACCCCGAAGUCCCGGUAUCAUACUCUAGCCCCGAGGCAAGUCCCGAGAUCCUGAAGAUCCCGAAAAGUGCGGUUCCCGAGUCGAAGCUCUGCCCGCGAGAAGUUCGAUUUUCGAGAAGAUCUUCCAGAUCUGCUGUGGAUUACUACUUCUAUAAGCCGUAGUGCUGUCCGAUCAUCUUCUGAUCAAGUGAGUGUGUAGUUAUUUCUUCUAAUACAAUAAUACGAAGUAUUUUAUAUAAAAAUACGUGCUAUGUGUAUAUAUUUGGUUGUGUUAUGUGUGAAUGAGUAUUCACUCUCUUCUAUCUUAUAGAUCUGCUUAUUUCUUUAUGAGAUAUGUGUUAUGUGUGUGUGUGCCUCAUCUGUUAUGUGAUAUAUGUGUUGAUUAAAGCAUGCUAUACAGGUUUUCUUUAAACUAUGUAUACAAAUGUAUAUUUUUAUCUACUAAUAUGUUGGGUAGAACAUGGGUAGACAGUUGGUGUGUAAUAAACAGAUGAGAGGCCUCGUUGUUGUUUGAUUGAGUCAUCUAGCGGAGUUUAGAUGACGACCACUGGCUAUUCUAGACAGUCUUGUGGAAACAUUAGCAGGUUCGCCACCUGUAGGUGUUAAUGAACUUGGGUGUUCAUUCGCUGUACUCCAUCCCCCUCAUGGUUGCCUUAUUUGACUUAUAUUGCUGAGGUACCCCCGAAGCAUGUGUUGUCGCCCCGAUGAAAUAUUCUUAGACUAGGUCCCUUAUGUUAGUUGUUUUAGGGACAUUAAAGUGAGAAUAACGGGAAUGGGUAAUUGGGUUAUUGUUGGUUGGUGAAAAUUAAAUAUGAUUAUUUAUUGUGGGUUGAAAACCCUAUAUGCUCACCAGGCUCCCAAGCCUGACCCACUCAGUUUUAAAUUGUAUUACAGGUAGUGGCGGAAGGGCAUGAGAUGGAUGAACCAUCAAGUUGUUUUGUUUACAAGUCUGCAUAUGUUUAUAUUUGUUAUAUGACUUGUAAUGUAUUCGUUUAUGCUUAUUGGUCUGUAUCGGAACAUGACACCCCGAGUUUUGAUUAUAAUGAAAAUACAUUUCUUUUAUGAAAUGCUUCGGUAAACAAUGUUUUAUCAUGUUUUGUUUUUGGGAACAAAUUCCGCAACUCUUUCAAAUCAAAAGGAUUUACUCUGAAAAUAUUUAAAAGCAUAAAUGAAAAUCGGUCUUUUCUGGCCGAGAUUUU
RNAcentral lists this long non-coding RNA (7720 nucleotides) under Lactuca sativa (garden lettuce). RNAcentral describes it as "long non-coding RNA (LSAT_LNC009779)". The record is from RNAcentral. Lineage: Eukaryota; Viridiplantae; Streptophyta; Magnoliopsida; Asterales; Asteraceae.